GGAGAGAUGGCAGAGUGGACGAUUGCGCCGGUCUUGAAAACCGUUGAACCCGCAAGGGUUCCGGGGGUUCGAAUCCCCCUCUCUCCG
RNAcentral lists this transfer RNA (87 nucleotides) under Acidimicrobiia bacterium. RNAcentral describes it as "tRNA-Ser". It matches the Rfam family "tRNA". From Rfam's summary of the family: Transfer RNA (tRNA) molecules are approximately 80 nucleotides in length. Their secondary structure includes four short double-helical elements and three loops (D, anti-codon, and T loops). The record is from RNAcentral. Lineage: Bacteria; Bacillati; Actinomycetota; Acidimicrobiia. RNAcentral also lists the same sequence under 1 other name.